GUGUUUACAGUGAGAUAAACUUCUUUUAAUAAGUUAAUUAAUGUUAUCGAAAAGCUGAUGGUUAUUUGGAGACGACUAUUCUAUCCUUUCUUUAUUGGUGUAGUUCAAUAGCGACAUGCAUGUCAGAUUUAUUGUGCCUCGCAUGCAGUUUGAGCACUUCCCCACCCAAUAUGUAGUUUUAUGAUGCACUGAAUACGGAAAUUCCAAUGUGAGC
RNAcentral lists this unclassified non-coding RNA (214 nucleotides) under Hevea brasiliensis (rubber tree). Lineage: Eukaryota; Viridiplantae; Streptophyta; Magnoliopsida; Malpighiales; Euphorbiaceae. The record is from RNAcentral.